RNAcentral lists this ribosomal RNA (253 nucleotides) under Roseburia faecis M72/1. RNAcentral's name for it is "partial 16S ribosomal RNA". It matches the Rfam family "Bacterial small subunit ribosomal RNA", at positions 524 to 776 of the family's 1533-position model. The record is from RNAcentral. Lineage: Bacteria; Bacillati; Bacillota; Clostridia; Lachnospirales; Lachnospiraceae.
UACGUAUGGUGCAAGCGUUAUCCGGAUUUACUGGGUAUAAAGGGAGCGCAGGCGGUGCGGCAAGUCUGAUGUGAAAGCCCGGGGCUCAACCCCGGUACUGCAUUGGAAACUGUCGUACUAGAGUGUCGGAGGGGUAAGCGGAAUUCCUAGUGUAGCGGUGAAAUGCGUAGAUAUUAGGAGGAACACCAGUGGCGAAGGCGGCUUACUGGACGAUAACUGACGCUGAGGCUCGAAAGCGUGGGGAGCAAACAGG